CAGAGCAGGAAAGGAGAAGUUAUAGCAGGCCUGAAAUAUAGCUACUGAAUAUUUACUUUUAUUUUUUCCCCAUCUUCUUUUGGAAACUACACCAGCUGGUUAAGGAAUCCCAAACAAGCCUGGAUACACUUGCUGAUUACUGUGUUGUGUCUGCCUUCAUCUUUCAUCUCAGUACAGAGGGAUACAUGUUUGACUUUGACAGGUCUGUUCGGACUGCAUUCCAGAAGAUGGGUGAUACAUCAUCUGGUUGGACUCUUGGGUACCUGCUGAGUCUGACCAACACCAUCCCACAGGACAGCCCAAGCUUCCUCAAAGGGAUUGAACCAGGGGUCUGGUCUUUGCUCCUUAUCCUUUUUGUUGUGCUGCUCACUGGCUCUUUCAUGCGCAUCUCAUACCGAGUGAUGGUCAAGGAAAACAGCUUCAGUAACAGGAACAGCAGUGUUUUUGAUGACAACUGACAUUCUGGGGCCCGAUGCUCUUGCCAGAGGUAUACAGGGUAUACACAGAAAUCACACAGGUGUAAGUCACUAGAGGAUGCAAGUGAUUUUCCUGCAGUACUCCCAGAGCCUCAGCGCCUUAUUUCAACCUGCUAGCACUUACACUACUGUACUUUGAGACAACGGAUCCUGCUCCACAGGAAACCUGGGAUUCCUGGUGGAUGGCAAGCUACUCAUUCUCCAAAUGAGAGCAGCCUGCACACAUUUGCUUGGGCUGCAGCUGAGAUUACUCACAUCAACCUAAUGAAACAAUGCCUCUGAGCUAUUGUACAGUUAAUAUUGAAUAAUCCUGUCUAAUCAGGAGAGGUGGUGACUGAAAAAGUGCUCUGUUCUCUUCUGUGCCCACAAGAGAGACAGUACCUGCAGUACUGCCACUACUGAGGACUGGAACAGCAUCAAAAUAUAGUCAGAAUGUUAACAGCCAACUCACUUCUGUGUUCUAGGGUAAAAGCAGGUAUUUUCUGCCUAUAACAACUGAGCUGUCUGUUCUUCCACCUCAGUGAUGGUUUCCAUGUGUCCCUUCCAGCGAAUGCUCCUGCUGACCAAGA
RNAcentral lists this long non-coding RNA (1045 nucleotides) under Athene cunicularia (burrowing owl). RNAcentral's name for it is "lncRNA (ENSACUG00000014493.1)". The record is from RNAcentral. Lineage: Eukaryota; Metazoa; Chordata; Aves; Strigiformes; Strigidae.